RNAcentral lists this ribosomal RNA (301 nucleotides) under uncultured bacterium. RNAcentral describes it as "partial 16S ribosomal RNA". It matches the Rfam family "Bacterial small subunit ribosomal RNA", at positions 509 to 807 of the family's 1533-position model. The record is from RNAcentral.
CAGUCGCCGCGGUAAUGCGAAGGGGGCUAGCGUUGUUCGGAUUUACUGGGCGUAAAUGGUGCGUAGGCGGAUUGUUAAGUCAGGGGUGAAAUCCCGAGGCUCAACCUCGGAACUGCCUUUGAUACUGGCGAUCUUGAGUCCGGGAGAGGUGAGUGGAACUGCGAGUGUAGAGGUGAAAUUCGUAGAUGUUCGGAAGAACACCAGUGGCGAAGGCGACUGACUGGACAAGUAUUGACGCUGAGGUGCGAAAGCGUGGGGAGCAAACAGGAUUAGAUACCCGGGUAGUCCCUGUCUCUUAUAC